RNAcentral lists this ribosomal RNA (385 nucleotides) under Rhipicephalus microplus (southern cattle tick). RNAcentral describes it as "partial 12S ribosomal RNA". Lineage: Eukaryota; Metazoa; Arthropoda; Arachnida; Ixodida; Ixodidae. The record is from RNAcentral.
AAACUAGGAUUAGAUACCCUAUUAUUUAAGAGCUUUACAUUGUAAGUAAAUAUUAAUUACGAAAGCAAAAAAUUAUGGCGGUAUUUUAAGCUUUUCAGAGGAAUUUGCUCUUUAAUGGAUAAAACACCUAAAUCUUACUUAAAUUUGUUAAGUCAAUUUGUAUACCACUAUUAAAUUAAUUAUUAAUUUUAAUUUAUAAAAUUUAUGCAAAUUUAAAAAAAAUUAAGUCAAGGUGCAGUAAAAAUUUAAGAAUGAAGUGAAUUACAUUUCUUUUAAGAGAUUAUUAAAAUUAAAAUUUUAAUUUAGGAUUUGAAAGUAAAAUUAAAAUAGAAUGUUAAUUUGAAUUAAGCUCUAAAAUAUGUACACAUCGCCCGUCGCUCUCAUU